UCCUCAGUAGCUCAGUUGGUUAGAGCAUCUGACUGUUAAUCAGAGGGUCGUAGGUUCGAGUCCUACCUGAGGAG
Molecule: transfer RNA, 74 nt
Filed under: Ignavibacteriota bacterium
Lineage: Bacteria; Pseudomonadati; Ignavibacteriota
Also listed under: 4 other names
Description: Ignavibacteriae bacterium (activated sludge metagenome) tRNA-Asn
Rfam family: tRNA
About the family: Transfer RNA (tRNA) molecules are approximately 80 nucleotides in length.
Source: RNAcentral